RNAcentral lists this ribosomal RNA (265 nucleotides) under uncultured bacterium. RNAcentral's name for it is "partial 16S ribosomal RNA". It matches the Rfam family "Bacterial small subunit ribosomal RNA", at positions 793 to 1055 of the family's 1533-position model. The record is from RNAcentral.
GUCCACGCCGUAAACUAUGGACACUAGGUGUGGGGGGUAUCGACCCCCUCCGUGCCGAAGCUAACGCAAUAAGUGUCCCGCCUGGGGAGUACGGCCGCAAGGCUAAAACUCAAAGGAAUUGACGGGGGCCCGCACAAGCAGCGGAGCGUGCGGUUUAAUUCGUCGCAACGCGAAGAACCUUACCAAGGCUUGACAUGCUAGUGGUACCAAUCCGAAAGGUGCGGGACCCUUCGGGGAGCUAGCACAGGUGCUGCAUGGCUGUCGU